Molecule: ribosomal RNA, 464 nt
Filed under: uncultured bacterium
Lineage: Bacteria
Description: partial 16S ribosomal RNA
Rfam family: Bacterial small subunit ribosomal RNA
Source: RNAcentral
CUACGGGACGCAGCAGUGGGGAAUAUUGCACAAUGGGCGCAAGCCUGAUGCAGCCAUGCCGCGUGUAUGAAGAAGGCCUUCGGGUUGUAAAGUACUUUCAGCGGGGAGGAAGGGAGUAAAGUUAAUACCUUUGCUCAUUGGCGUUACCCGCAGAAGAAGCACCGGCUAACUCCGUGCCAGCAGCCGCGGUAAUACGGAGGGUGCAAGCGUUAAUCGGAAUUACUGGGCGUAAAGCGCACGCAGGCGGUUUGUUAAGUCAGAUGUGAAAUCCCCGGGCUCAACCUGGGAACUGCAUCUGAUACGGGCAAGCUUGAGUCUCGUAGAGGGGGGUAGAAUUCCAGGUGUAGCGGUGAAAUGCGUAGAGAUCUGGAGGAAUACCGGUGGCGAAGGCGGCCCCCUGGACGAAGACUGACGCUCAGGUGCGAAAGCGUGGGGAGCAAACAGGAUUAGAUACCCGGGUAGUC